GAUGAACGCUGGCGGCGUGCCUAAUACAUGCAAGUCGAGCGAACAGACGAGGAGCUUGCUCCUCUGACGUUAGCGGCGGACGGGUGAGUAACACGUGGAUAACCUACCUAUAAGACUGGGAUAACUUCGGGAAACCGGAGCUAAUACCGGAUAAUAUAUUGAACCGCAUGGUUCAAUAGUGAAAGACGGUUUUGCUGUCACUUAUAGAUGUAUCCGCGCCGCAUUAGCUAGUUGGUAAGGUAACGGCUUACCAAGGCAACGAUGCGUAGCCGACCUGAGAGGGUGAUCGGCCACACUGGAACUGAGACACGGUCCAGACUCCUACGGGAGGCAGCAGUAGGGAAUCUUCCGCAAUGGGCGAAAGCCUGACGGAGCAACGCCGCGUGAGUGAUGAAGGUCUUCGGAUCGUAAAACUCUGUUAUUAGGGAAGAACAAAUGUGUAAGUAACUAUGCACGUCUUGACGGUACCUAAUCAGAAAGCCACAGCUAACUACGUG
Molecule: ribosomal RNA, 497 nt
Filed under: uncultured bacterium
Lineage: Bacteria
Description: partial 16S ribosomal RNA
Rfam family: Bacterial small subunit ribosomal RNA
Source: RNAcentral